GCUAGAGUGCCAGUUGGAGUGGUUGGAAAUAAAUAUAUCUGAGUGUGUUUCAGCAAUGUCAUCUCAACUCCUACUCUGAAAAAUGUCAGAUGCUUCCCACCUCACUGUCGCUGGUGAGCACAUUGCAGUGUCAAGGAGAAGGCUUGGUUUUGCCCUCUGAGAGAGAAGCAGAGAUGGUAAUGCCCACCCUGCAGGGCUGUGGGCAUAGAGGCGCUGGAGAGAGACCAGCAUCCUGCAGAGUGCCUGGCCCUGCACAGGCCUACAGAGAAGACGGGGUAGGCAGCAGAUCUGAGCAAUGACCCUGCUCUUUGGAGCUUCGAUGGACGUGGGCGUGAAACUGUUGCUUACCACGGAAAAAGACCUUGUGGAGAAUGAGUUCAAGGACAUGCUUCUGGAGAUGGUUUACGAAGAGCCAGUUCAGAAAGUGAAGAUCGAAGAUCGAAGAUCACGUGGACUGAGCUGGGCAGAGCUCUGUGUGCGAGAUACAUCUACUUCUCCAUCCCUGGGCCAGUCCAUGUCACCUCAGUGUGCCACCACCUAUGCAGUUGACAGCCAGCGCUGCCUCCUCCCUGCCUCGGCAAGUAUCUUGAGACCUGGAUCCUGGGAAACCUCCCCCUACACUCAAUUUGUCAUCGCUUUGGGCAGAUUUCAAUCCCUAUGACUACUUUUUCC
This 672-nucleotide long non-coding RNA is filed under the name Zalophus californianus (California sea lion). Its description in RNAcentral is "lncRNA (ENSZCAG00015022008.1)". Lineage: Eukaryota; Metazoa; Chordata; Mammalia; Carnivora; Otariidae. The record is from RNAcentral.